This 2777-nucleotide ribosomal RNA is filed under the name Salmonella enterica subsp. enterica serovar Weltevreden. RNAcentral describes it as "bacterial LSU rRNA". It matches the Rfam family "Bacterial large subunit ribosomal RNA". The record is from RNAcentral. Lineage: Bacteria; Pseudomonadati; Pseudomonadota; Gammaproteobacteria; Enterobacterales; Enterobacteriaceae.
AGCGUACACGGUGGAUGCCCUGGCAGUCAGAGGCGAUGAAGGGCGUGCUAAUCUGCGAUAAGCGCCGGUAAGGUGAUAUGAACCGUUAUAACCGGCGAUACCCGAAUGGGGAAACCCAGUGUGANUCGUCACACUAUCAUUAACUGAAUCCAUAGGUUAAUGAGGCGAACCGGGGGAACUGAAACAUCUAAGUACCCCGAGGAAAAGAAAUCAACCGAGAUUCCCCCAGUAGCGGCGAGCGAACGGGGAGGAGCCCAGAGCCUGAAUCAGCAUGUGUGUUAGUGGAAGCGUCUGGAAAGGCGCGCGAUACAGGGUGACAGCCCCGUACACAAAAGCGCAUGUGCUGUGAGCUCGAUGAGUAGGGCGGGACACGUGGUAUCCUGUCUGAAUAUGGGGGGACCAUCCUCCAAGGCUAAAUACUCCUGACUGACCGAUAGUGAACCAGUACCGUGAGGGAAAGGCGAAAAGAACCCCGGCGAGGGGAGUGAAAAAGAACCUGAAACCGUGUACGUACAAGCAGUGGGAGCNGCUUUGGGGUGGGGUGACUGCGUACCUUUUGUAUAAUGGGUCAGCGACUUAUAUUCUGUAGCAAGGUUAACCGAAUAGGGGAGCCGGAGGGAAACCGAGUCUUAAUUGGGCGUUAAGUUGCAGGGUAUAGACCCGAAACCCGGUGAUCUAGCCAUGGGCAGGUUGAAGGUUGGGUAACACUAACUGGAGGACCGAACCGACUAAUGUUGAAAAAUUAGCGGAUGACCUGUGGCUGGGGGUGAAAGGCCAAUCAAACCGGGAGAUAGCUGGUUCUCCCCGAAAGCUAUUUAGGUAGCGCCUCGUGAAUUCAUCUCCGGGGGUAGAGCACUGUUUCGGCUAGGGGGCCAUCCCGGCUUACCAACCCGAUGCAAACUGCGAAUACCGGAGAAUGUUAUCACGGGAGACACACGGCGGGUGCUAACGUCCGUCGUGAAGAGGGAAACAACCCAGACCGCCAGCUAAGGUCCCAAAGUCAUGGUUAAGUGGGAAACGAUGUGGGAAGGCCCAGACAGCCAGGAUGUUGGCUUAGAAGCAGCCAUCAUUUAAAGAAAGCGUAAUAGCUCACUGGUCGAGUCGGCCUGCGCGGAAGAUGUAACGGGGCUAAACCAUGCACCGAAGCUGCGGCAGCGACGCUUAUGCGUUGUUGGGUAGGGGAGCGUUCUGUAAGCCUGUGAAGGUGGCCUGUGAGGGUUGCUGGAGGUAUCAGAAGUGCGAAUGCUGACAUAAGUAACGAUAAAGCGGGUGAAAAGCCCGCUCGCCGGAAGACCAAGGGUUCCUGUCCAACGUUAAUCGGGGCAGGGUGAGUCGACCCCUAAGGCGAGGCCGAAAGGCGUAGUCGAUGGGAAACGGGUUAAUAUUCCCGUACUUGGUGUUACUGCGAAGGGGGGACGGAGAAGGCUAUGUUGGCCGGGCGACGGUUGUCCCGGUUUAAGCGUGUAGGUGUGUGUUCCAGGUAAAUCCGGUUCACUUUAACACUGAGGCGUGAUGACGAGGCACUACGGUGCUGAAGCAACAAAUGCCCUGCUUCCAGGAAAAGCCUCUAAGCAUCAGGUAACAUCAAAUCGUACCCCAAACCGACACAGGUGGUCAGGUAGAGAAUACCAAGGCGCUUGAGAGAACUCGGGUGAAGGAACUAGGCAAAAUGGUGCCGUAACUUCGGGAGAAGGCACGCUGACACGUAGGUGAAGUGAUUUACUCAUGGAGCUGAAGUCAGUCGAAGAUACCAGCUGGCUGCAACUGUUUAUUAAAAACACAGCACUGUGCAAACACGAAAGUGGACGUAUACGGUGUGACGCCUGCCCGGUGCCGGAAGGUUAAUUGAUGGGGUCAGCGCAAGCGAAGCUCCUGAUCGAAGCCCCGGUAAACGGCGGCCGUAACUAUAACGGUCCUAAGGUAGCGAAAUUCCUUGUCGGGUAAGUUCCGACCUGCACGAAUGGCGUAAUGAUGGCCAGGCUGUCUCCACCCGAGACUCAGUGAAAUUGAACUCGCUGUGAAGAUGCAGUGUACCCGCGGCAAGACGGAAAGACCCCGUGAACCUUUACUAUAGCUUGACACUGAACAUUGAGCCUUGAUGUGUAGGAUAGGUGGGAGGCUUUGAAGUGUGGACGCCAGUCUGCAUGGAGCCGACCUUGAAAUACCACCCUUUAAUGUUUGAUGUUCUAACGUGGACCCGUGAUCCGGGUUGCGGACAGUGUCUGGUGGGUAGUUUGACUGGGGCGGUCUCCUCCUAAAGAGUAACGGAGGAGCACGAAGGUUGGCUAAUCCUGGUCGGACAUCAGGAGGUUAGUGCAAUGGCAUAAGCCAGCUUGACUGCGAGCGUGACGGCGCGAGCAGGUGCGAAAGCAGGUCAUAGUGAUCCGGUGGUUCUGAAUGGAAGGGCCAUCGCUCAACGGAUAAAAGGUACUCCGGGGAUAACAGGCUGAUACCGCCCAAGAGUUCAUAUCGACGGCGGUGUUUGGCACCUCGAUGUCGGCUCAUCACAUCCUGGGGCUGAAGUAGGUCCCAAGGGUAUGGCUGUUCGCCAUUUAAAGUGGUACGCGAGCUGGGUUUAGAACGUCGUGAGACAGUUCGGUCCCUAUCUGCCGUGGGCGCUGGAGAACUGAGGGGGGCUGCUCCUAGUACGAGAGGACCGGAGUGGACGCAUCACUGGUGUUCGGGUUGUCAUGCCAAUGGCACUGCCCGGUAGCUAAAUGCGGAAGAGAUAAGUGCUGAAAGCAUCUAAGCACGAAACUUGCCCCGAGAUGAGUUCU